UCGAGGUUGUUCUCAAUCCAUUGAAUAAGCAGUCUUCAGAUACUCAAAUGAAGAUCCGUCCCUUCUUCUUUAUCAUCAGUAAUCUCUAGCAGUGCUCUCUGGGCCCCAAGAACGUAACUUACCAUGGAGUUUUUAAGAGCUUAUGCUGGGACAAUGCUGUGUAUUCUGUCUGCCAGGACUCAAGAAAGUUCUUUAAUUGUUUUCCAUCUAGCACAUUUCUGUGGCCGAGGGCUUGCUUCAUAACUCACACAAAAUGUUAUUAUGAUGAAAGUCAAACCUUUCAGGGCAGUCUUCAUAUGUGGUGAUUGCCAAAACUAAAUGAUCUGAUGGUGUGAACCUGGGGAAGUAGUCUCACUGGUUAUCUGAUGUCUCCACGUUUUGCAGCAAGACUGUCAAGAUAUAUAGCAGUGAUGAAGAGAGGCAUAGGUGGUUAUGCUUUUCCACAAUCUGAGUUACCUGUGAUAACAGCAAGACAUGGGAACAGCAUGAGCUUCUUCUGCAUGAUCUCUUGGAGAAGCCAAGGAUGCUACUUCCAAUUCACAACAUCUGGCAAUUCAGAAAGUGCUCAUGAAGGCCAAGACAGAUGGAGACUGGGGAGAAAUAAAUGAAAGACAGUAGGCAAACACAGAAAGGAGGUGAGUACAUGUGUCCUUAGGAUGACACUAGGAGUAGGAGUAGGCAUGGACAACAAUGGACAUUAACCAUGCCUCUGAUCCCUACCACUACCUUAGAAUCUGACCAAGAGAAGAAUGGUGCACCUACAGAAACCAUGGCAUGGUACCUGCACAUUGUCUUCUUUUUGAUAUGGAACUUUGCAGCAAAUACCUAAUUUACUUACAGUCUUUUUCUCUGCACUGACACAGUGCUGUUUGCUACCUCUUUGAACUGGCAGUAAGUUGUCACUAGGUCACCAGUGGCUUUAGAGAGUGCACCACCAUCCAGCAGUUCAGCCAUGAGCAAUACAUUGCAGACAACUUUCACUGUCUUUGGAGUAGGAUGGGAGAAAUACAGAGGAUGGCAAGCCCUGGAGAUAGGGAAAUUGGCUUGGAAACCUGUUCAAAUAUGCAAAAUAGUAAUCAAUAUUUUUACUCUAAAAACUAUUUCUGGUUAUUUCUGAUAAGCUAAUGGGUCAAGUGGAGAAGAGAUAAGAGUUUACUGAAAAUAGAUGGCAUCACUUCAAAACAUCUCACUGUGCAAGUUAAAAGCAUUUCCCUAGAAGUAUCUACCACUUGUCUUGGAAAAUACUGUCCCAAAGAGACUACAGAGAUAAAGUUCAGAGAGAGGAAAAUAUCUUUAUUUGGAAUUUAAUGGAGAUACUAUAAGUAUAUUUGAGUAAGAAUGUUUUGGGAUAGGCAGAUAAGCCUAUGAUUCCCUUUCAUUCUCCAAAGGAUUUAUGUCUGGGUAAGGAUGGCAUUUGUUUGUGAAAGCCAACAUCUGUUUCUGUUUGUAUGCUGCCACUUUUACAGUCGUGCAUGGUUAGGUGAGUAGUGCAAGUACUCGAUCAAAGUUGAAUCUUACUGUCGCGUUAGUAAUGUUUGGUUUGACAAAUAAUCAAGAAAUGUACUUUCCUCUGUUAGUCAGUUGCAAGGGUUGAGAGGAGUAACAUUUUACAAGGCCUAAACUCCAUCUGUUGGUUUGAAAAAAAAUGAUGAGGCAAUGGUAACACUCUUUUCCAUUCAUUCAGAUGCCAUUCUGUACUCAAGUGCUCCACACAAGCUCUUUAUCUGCUUUACAGAUCUAUUCACAAAUAACUUGAAUAUUUUUCUCUAACAAUCUUGCUUGUUUAGUCUAUAAUUUCUAUCCCACAUCAGUCCCUAUAUUAGCAAGUAACCAUUGUGACUAAAAAGUAAAAGUACUGAAACUACAUGUAUAUGCUGUGGAGUCGAACAGUGUGAAAGCUGCAGCCAAAGUUGUAAAGUUUUUCAGAGCCUUGGUAUUACUGUCCUGUGUAAAGCAGAGUUUUAUUUUCCGUGGUUAAAUUUGCUUGGUGUCAAACACUGACUUUUUGCCCAAGUCAGAGAAAUACCAAUUUCUUCUAUGUUACUUGAGCCCCCUGCUAUGCUGUAUUUUAGAGGUGCAAGGGAAAAGCCUUCCUUUUGGAUAAAAAGGCAUUAGAUGAAUACAUCUCUGUGUAAAUAUUGGAGGUCUUCUACAAAAAAAGUAGUAAAAGGGUGGCUUAAGUAUCAGCAGCUUUUGUACUUCUCUUUUAUGCUGUAGUGCUGUCAUGGGGCAUCUGCCAUCCUGCCUUAUUGCAGAUUUUCUUGUCAACAAGAUGGUUUGGGGUUUUCUUUUCUGUACAUUUCUGCACUUCUCCAGCCACUGGAAGUGAAAAUGAUGUUACUUCAUUGUAAAGAAGUGUUACUCUGAAAAAUGUUACCUUUAGCAGGAGCUGCUGUUCUAAUCUUUCUGCAGGAGAACACAGUUCCCAGAACUUUGUACCACUCUAGGGAGCUCUGCCCAAGUUGCUCUCUAAAGUUGUCUUCUAUUUCCCCAGCUUCUUCCCUUCUGUCCAUACUUAAGGAUUUCCUAAAUCCAGCACUUUGUGAGAGGGAAGGUGAAAGGGCUCUUUGCUAGUUAUGGAACAGUUUAAAAUGUCUUUCUGAGCUGCUCUUGGCAGAGUGGGUGUAGAAAUGCUUGUAUUGGGGAAAAAAUGAAGAGGUACAAAUGGCAAAUCAUGAAAGCUGUAUGGGAGUUCCUGGUCUUCUGCUAACUUGUUAUCCACAGUUAUGAUGGUGAGCAUCCAGCAGACAGGAGGGGUGUAUGGCCCAGAGGGACACAAGGAAACACAUGCCAGGGCGGCACAGCUUUAUUCCCAAAGUACCCUGUGCUAGAAACAAAGAGCUCAGGUAUAGAAUGGUUUUGUUGGGAAGAAUCUAUACAUAUAUAUAUACACAGAUAUAUAUAAGAGAUCAAGCACUUAAGUUAUCUAUAAAAAUCUGUAUGUACCAAUGUUGUUGCCUUGCAGUGUUGUGAUGUACACUGUAUGUUCUGGGAUCCCUUUGAGGAGUUACAGCCUAAAUCUGUCACUGUGACAGGCACACCUCAGCUUCCUGUUCCCAGCAAGACAGCUGACCCACACCAUGGAACUCCUAUGUAAAAAGCCAAAACUGCUUUAGCUGUUUGUGACAGCGGUGCUUGGCAGAGCAAUCUAUCACAGCAGUCAGGAAUGGAGGGAGGGUGAUAGCAGAGAUCUUUGCAUGUGCUACACUGUGAAGUCCCAUCUUUGGUUCUGAUGAGGAAAAUACAAGGUAGAGCACCUGUCUUGCAUGUACUUGCCAUUCCCUCAGCCACAGGCUGCUUUUAAAAAAUGUUUUGAUUUGUUACCUAAAUGGGGCAAAUCUAAUGUUACAUUUAGGUGUGGGGAAGGAGUGGGGAAAGCUCUCAAAAGCAAUAGGUCCAUGCAUGGAGACCCAGUGUGUUCAGUUUGCAAAACCUACUGCCAUCUGCAGCCUUAACUUUGGCAUUUUAGGCUCCUACUAGUUUGGCUAUACAAAUGUCUCAGCUUCUCUCAUAUUGCUCAUUUGCAGCUGACAUAUUGCCACUUAAAAGUAGUGGCUCAGCUCUGGCUCAGCUCCACGUUGGACUUUAUAACAUCUCAGUAUUUGUUUAUUCAGCACAAAUCAUUUUACUACUGGGUGUAGCUCUUUAUGAGGCCUGUCUCCUGGAGAUAUUGCCAAAGGAAGGAAGUAUAACUAUAUGGUAUUUACCUUACCAUGAUGCUGUUGUAGUCACACUAUUUGACUCAUGCUAAUACAUUCUGUGUUAGAGUAAUACUUGAAGGUCAGAGGAGGAAGGAACGUGUUCCUACAUUUACUUGGAAAAAAGCAAAUGGAGCAAAACACAAAGAUUCAUCUGCUUGGGGGUUUUUCACUUGUAAUACACAAUUGAUGGCAGAAUGAAACUGUUUCAGAGUUAUGUUAGACUUAAUAAAAAAAAAAAAAACUUUAAAAAAAAGAAAAGAAAAAAUCCAUCAACAUUAUGCCUGCAUCACCUGUAGAAAAGUGCUCUAACACCUUCUGGAACUACUUACAAAAGAUGAAGAAAAAGGCAGAAUGCCCUCAUCUGAUUCAGUUUUUGUCCUGAACAUAGGGUGUUUUGAGGACAUGAGACACCUGUUAGCUGAAGAGACCUCAAGAGCAAGGCCAGGACUGGGGAUCUAUAUUUAACAGCAGCAAUGGCUGUACAUUCUGUUUCUCAUUGGUUUCCUGCUGUGCUCCCAACAUGUCAGAUUCCUUCCCUCACAAAAAUGAAAGUUUAGAUGGUCUCCCUUUCAUUUCUCCUACAAGGCAAUUUGUCACACAUUUGUGCUCUCAGUGCUAAAAUAAGUUUAUUAACAUACGUAGAUACCAUUUGAUCUUUCAAACAAAACCUGUAACGUAAGGAUCCAAUUAUGGGAUUGUACAGUUAAUGAUCCUUUUAAAUUUAAAACACCCUAUAAAAAUUUACUGGCAGCUUCAAGAGUCUUCAAACUGUCAUCCUGAAUUGCCACAGAAAGUAGCAUUUUUCUGCUGUGAUAUAAAUCCAGAUUGUUCAUAGGAGAUGAUUAAAUCUAGAAGUAAUUUUGAGGAAAUAAAAGCAGAAUCCAAGGCACACUUCUCUUAAUCAUAGGAGAAAGAUCUCUGCUUUGUUCUCCUGGAACUACUCAAAAUCCUCACCUUCCUUGUGUAAAUGGAUGCAAGAAGCUGAGAUGAAGCACCAAUUCCCGACUCCUCUCAUCUGUAUGGAUCAUGCUUGGAGUCCGACAUGCCAUGCAUGGAUCAGACCUCCCUGAACUAUGCUGUGCUGUCUGCUUAGUGCACACCCAUGGGUGGCAUCUGGGAUCUCUGCAUGCCUGACAUUAUGAGGGAGCGAUUCCUGCAGGGCCCUGGGGUCUACAGAAAUCCUAUAAACAUCUAAAGGCAAACCUCACUGAGACAAAAUUUCUGUGGUGGAAGGUGGGUCCAGGGAAAUUUGCAUGUACAUAUAUAUUUAAGAAGAAGCCAUAUGGGAACAGACAGGAAAUUUCAUUCUUAUAUUCUUAUCACAAGGAAUUUUUUAAUGAAAAUAUAUGUCAUUUAUUUGCCAGAAAAGUAGAAAUCCUAAUACUCACUGUCUGAAUAGCAAAAUGUCAAAAAGGGUAAGAUCCAUAAAAAAAAAAUAAAGAAAGAGAAAUCAUUGGAUCCUUUGUCAGGAAGGUACUGAUAUCCCUUGAAAGUAGUGUCUUUAUUGUCACUGACUGCAGAGGGAGAUGGGAGUGCUGCUUGUUAUCACAGCGGGGGCUAUAUAUUCAGCUGAAGAGUCUCCAUCACCAUGGUAUUUUCAGCAGCUCUCAAUUUUAAUCAUCAAGCUUCACUUUACAGAUGGAGGAAGCUUUUUAGUUCCCUUCUCCCUUUUUAAGAGGUGGUAAAAGGAUUUGCUGAAGAUAUGUAAGGUUCUGGCAACUGCAAAAAUAGAUGUUCAUCUUCUGAAUUCCUGUCCCGUAUCCUAAUUAAAAGAAAUUGAUGUCAUCCUUCCUUCUGUAUUGUGAAAUACACAGUUAAGUAUAGAUAUAUUAGUUUAGCAGCAGGUUGUUUUUCUGAUAAAUGAAGAAGUACAUACAUUAAUUUCAGCUGUCAGCAUGGAUGGAAUUGUUGGGGGAUAGGAGAAAAAAAAAGGCAAAUAGAACCAGGAUGUUUAUCUUUGCAAUUAUGAAUAAGCAACCAGCUGCACAAAGUGUCUAUCAGAAAGGAACACCUUCUGUCGCUGUUUCUGUUAAUCUUAAAGACAUUUAGAUCAAUAAGCUGCAUUAUGAAAGGGGGGAUGUAUGUGCUCAAGCCCUUGUCACUCCAUAAUUUUUCCAUUGUUGUUCCUAUGUGUACAGGCUACUGAUUUCCUCUAAUUUUCACAUGGUUUUUAUGUGUAUUUUGUUUUCCUGCUUGUUAUGAAGUCUCCAUCUAAAGAAAGUUUGUUCUUUUCACUGUUGGCAUUUGAUGGUUUUGAUUGGAGUGUCUCCUUCCUCUGAAAAGAAUGAGCUCCUUUCUUCUCUGCUGUUUUGCUGUUCCUGUACAAAACAAGCCAUCCCUGGUGACUGCUGUGGUUCUUAGGGGGUGGCAGAAAGCAGCUGCUUCUCCUGCUUCAGAGGAGAACCCCAGGGAAGGGGGUGCUCACAUCUUUAGUCCCAGCGAGUCACUCAUAUCACACAAGUCUUAAAAUGCUAGCUUUGGUUUGCUGCUAUGCACUUUUGGCAGUCAAAC
Parus major (Great Tit) is the source of this 6212-nucleotide long non-coding RNA. RefSeq lists it as uncharacterized. The transcript has 3 exons. The record is from RefSeq and is a predicted model, not a curated record. NCBI's taxonomy places the organism in Eukaryota, Metazoa, Chordata, Aves, Passeriformes, Paridae.